CCCGAGUAGCUGGGACUACAGAAAUGCUGGUUAUUUCAGUCACUUGCCGAUGACUUCUGAUGUCCCAGCAAAUGGCAUUGUUGACUGCUGAGAAGAUACUUCUGAGGACCCACGUCUAAGGUGGACUUGGCUCGCACUCUUCUAGUUAGUCUCUGAACAGGAGUGAUGCCUCCAGGCAGGUGGCAUGCUGUCUAUCCAGCUCAGGCCCAGUCUUCGAGGGAGCGAGGGCGGCUUCAGACAGUAAAGAAGGAAGAAGAGGAUGAAAGCUAUACUCCAGUGCAGCCUGCCAGGCCACAGACACUCAACCGCCCUGGCCAGGAGCUGUUCCGCCAGCUCUUCAGACAGCUUCGUUACCAUGAGUCUUCGGGGCCCCUAGAAACUCUGAGCCGGCUCCGGGAACUCUGUCGCUGGUGGCUGAGGCCUGACGUUCUCUCCAAGUCACAGAUCCUAGAGCUGCUGGUGCUAGAACAGUUCCUGAGCAUCCUGCCUGGGGAACUCCGGGUGUGGGUGCAGCUCCAUAACCCUGAGAGUGGCGAGGAGGCUGUGGCCUUGCUGGAGGAGCUGCAGAGGGACCUUGAUGGGACAUCAUGGAGGGACCCGGGCCCUGCCCAGAGCCCAGAUGUGCAUUGGAUGGGUACAGGAGCCCUGCGAUCUGCACAGAUAUGGUCCCUUGCUUCACCUCUCAGGAGCAGCUCUGCUCUGGGGGACCACCUGGAGCCUCCCUAUGAAAUAGAAGCACGUGACUUCCUGGCUGGGCAAUCCGAUACUCCUGCUGCCCAGAUGCCUGCCCUUUUCCAGAGAGAGGGGUGCCCAGGAGACCAGGUAACACCAACCAGGUCCCUGACAGCCCAGCUCCAGGAGACUAUGACUUUCAAGGAUGUGGAGGUGACCUUCUCCCAGGACGAGUGGGGGUGGCUGGACUCUGCUCAGAGGAACCUGUACAGGGAUGUGAUGCUGGAGAAUUAUAGGAACAUGGCUUCUCUGGGUAAGUAAUUGAUAUCUUCAUGCUUCUAUCCGUCUUUAUUUCUGCCUUCUUGGGUUGUUCUGUGCUGCAUAGAAAGGUACCUGACCUGGUUUUAGAUCCUGGCUCUGUAACUGCUAACCAGAUCACUUAAUGUAGCACCUUGGUAGCCUCUUUUGAAAAAUGGAGAGAAUAAUGCCUGCCAUUCUGGAUUAUUAUAAAGAUUAAAGGUGGUAGCUCACACCUGUAAUCCCAGCACUGCGGGAGGCCCAGGUGGGAAGAUUCCUUGAGCUCAGGAGUUUGAGACCAGUCUGGGCAACAUAGUGAAACCCCAUCUC
Molecule: small RNA, 1299 nt
Filed under: Pongo abelii (Sumatran orangutan)
Lineage: Eukaryota; Metazoa; Chordata; Mammalia; Primates; Hominidae
Description: retained intron
Source: RNAcentral